UUCCGUAGGUGAACCUGCGGAGGGAUCAUUACACAAAUAUGAAGGCGGGCUGGAACCUCUCGGGGUUACAGCCUUGCUGAAUUAUUCACCCUUGUCUUUUGCGUACUUCUUGUUUCCUUGGUGGGUUCGCCCACCACUAGGACAAACAUAAACCUUUUGUAAUUGCAAUCAGCGUCAGUAACAAAUUAAUAAUUACAACUUUCAACAACGGAUCUCUUGGUUCUGGCAUCGAUGAAGAACGCAGCGAAAUGCGAUAAGUAGUGUGAAUUGCAGAAUUCAGUGAAUCAUCGAAUCUUUGAACGCACAUUGCGCCCUUUGGUAUUCCAAAGGGCAUGCCUGUUCGAGCGUCAUUUGUACCCUCAAGCUUUGCUUGGUGUUGGGCGUCUUGUCUCUAGCUUUGCUGGAGACUCGCCUUAAAGUAAUUGGCAGCCGGCCUACUGGUUUCGGAGCGCAGCACAAGUCGCACUCUCUAUCAGCAAAGGUCUAGCAUCCAUUAAGCCUUUUUUUCAACUUUGACCUCGGAUCAGGUAGGGAUACCCGCUGAACUUAAGCAUAUCAAUAAGCGGAGG
RNAcentral lists this ribosomal RNA (569 nucleotides) under Alternaria sp. 50a1-2. RNAcentral describes it as "eukaryotic LSU rRNA". The stretch from base 197 to 350 matches the Rfam family "5.8S ribosomal RNA". The record is from RNAcentral. Lineage: Eukaryota; Fungi; Ascomycota; Dothideomycetes; Pleosporales; Pleosporaceae.